Molecule: ribosomal RNA, 509 nt
Filed under: uncultured bacterium
Lineage: Bacteria
Description: partial 16S ribosomal RNA
Rfam family: Bacterial small subunit ribosomal RNA
Source: RNAcentral
GACGAACGCUGGCGGCGUGCUUAACACAUGCAAGUCGAACGAAGAGCGACGGAAGCUUGCUUCUAUCAAUCUUAGUGGCGAACGGGUGAGUAACGCGUAAUCAACCUGCCCUUCAGAGGGGGACAACAGUUGGAAACGACUGCUAAUACCGCAUACGAUCUAACCUCGGCAUCGAGGAUAGAUGAAAGGUGGCCUCUACAUGUAAGCUAUCACUGAAGGAGGGGAUUGCGUCUGAUUAGCUAGUUGGAGGGGUAACGGCCACCAAGGCGAUGAUCAGUAGCCGGUCUGAGAGGAUGAACGGCCACAUUGGGACUGAGACACGGCCCAGACUCCUACGGGAGGCAGCAGUGGGGAAUCUUCCGCAAUGGACGAAAGUCUGACGGAGCAACGCCGCGUGAGUGAUGACGGCCUUCGGGUUGUAAAGCUCUGUUAAUCGGGACGAAAGGCCUUCUUGCGAAUAGUGAGAAGGAUUGACGGUACCGGAAUAGAAAGCCACGGCUAACUACGUG